AGCCUGGGAUAUGGCUCAGUGGUUAUGCGCUCGGGGUUCAAUCCCCCAUACCAGAAAAAAAGAAAUUCACCCAAGCCCAAGAGGUGAAGCCGAAGUCAGCAGCUUACUCCUUGGACCCCAAUGAUCAAGACAAUCCUCCAAGGUCCAUGUGGCACCAAAGGCCAGAACCAGAAAGCUCAAAAUAAAUUGGUGAAUACGAGGAUCCUGGUAGCCUUCAGCCAAGAGGCUUUUUGUGCACCCCAAGCUUUCCCAUAGCGGCUCUUCACGCUGCAGGGGGGACUCUCCCGGUUCCUGAUGCUCUCACAGCCACACAAGCAUCCUGCCAUGAGGCAUUUCCAUACCAAAGUAGAAGUCUCAGGUGAUCCCGUCUGCCUCUCAGUAAGUAACUUUAGGCUGUGGGGUGGGGGGAUUGAACCCCGGGCCUCCCUCCUGCUGGGCCCUUGCAGGGGGCCUCCUCAGCCACGCCUUGCCUGUCUGAAACCACUUAACCCCUGCACCUGGGAUCCAGUGAGAAGAGCAGAGAUAGGGAGAUGGCAGCGUAGGAGCCCCACACAGCCUCCCCCCGUGGCCGGGAAGCUUCGGCUCGGCUCAGAUCAGCGGGGCCGGCUGGUUGUUAGAAACUGCUGGGGUUCCAAGUGUCCCCCACAAAGCCUGGGUGGGAAACUUAAUCCCCAAGGCAACAGUGUGGGGAGCUGGGGCCUGAGGAUUCGGCCGUGAAGGGGGGUGAACACAGGGACGUGGUCACCAUGGAAGCCGGGAGCUGAGCUGUGUCCGUCUCUCCUUCCUCACCGGAUCUUCCCCCCAACUCCUGCCACCUGGCCUUCUGCUGUGGGGUGACACAGCAGGAGGCCCCUCGCCAGACACCCUGGCCUCUUGAUCUCGCCUUCUCAACUUCUAGAACUGUAAGAAAUAAAUUUGUCUUUAUAAACUA
Marmota flaviventris (yellow-bellied marmot) is the source of this 931-nucleotide non-coding RNA. Lineage: Eukaryota; Metazoa; Chordata; Mammalia; Rodentia; Sciuridae. The record is from RefSeq and is a predicted model, not a curated record.